RNAcentral lists this long non-coding RNA (847 nucleotides) under Salvia miltiorrhiza (redroot sage). RNAcentral describes it as "long non-coding RNA (SMIL_LNC000693)". Lineage: Eukaryota; Viridiplantae; Streptophyta; Magnoliopsida; Lamiales; Lamiaceae. The record is from RNAcentral.
GAAGAUACGAGAACACAACUUUUAACAAUACUAAAAAGUAUUAUGAAUUAAUUCAAAAAUGAAAGUGAAGUUGAAAGUGAAAGAAAAUCAAUUUUUAAAGAAAUAAAAAUAUGUAAUUCAUAGUUUGAUGAGCACCCGAAACAUAACUGUCCAGUAUUAAGAAGAUAUCCUGGACAAUGAAUAAAAUAAAAAAACAAAAACAAAAAGAAGGAAAGAGGAUAUUUCGCAUAAAGAAGAGAUUGUAAAAUAGGAUUGCUUGAAGUGACCGGACAGCAUAUGUUGACAAUUAAAUGGAUAAAUUCUUGAGAUCUGCUGACAAGGACGGGCCCCACUCUGAUAGCACUCGCUUCCGUACCUUCGUCCAAAUCCAGCCCCUCUGCUCUGCAACUCAACCAACAAUGCCAAUUCAUUCACAGUGUUUAAUGGGGAUUCAUACUCACACUAUACAUUUCCUAUUUCAGAAACUCAAGAAGGAAAUACGUAUAAAAAAGUAAACCAAAAAAAAGUAAAAUCAUCAAAAUCGAAAUAUGUGAAGAAUCAAUCAAUAGAUACGAAGGAGAUAAGAAGGUAGCGAAAGUGUCGCUUUAGAAGAGUUGGGAUUGGAAAUGCUCUGCGAUCUUAAUCCAUUCAUAUUUACAAACAAGUUAUGGGCAAUCUCCGAUUUUAUCCAUUUCAGCAGAAAUUGUUGACCAAUAUGGUUAAAUGAUAUUAGCGUACCAACAAAAAUGCAUUAACUCAUGCUCAUGCAACUCCACAGAAUGUCGGCAAGAGUCAAAAUAGGUCGCCAAGAAAGACUUUGUUGAUAAGAUCUUGCGACUUUGUCGGAAUACUAACUAGAGAAUUCUGA